GACGAACGCUGGCGGCGUGCUUAACACAUGCAAGUCGAACGGAAAGGCCUUUUCGGAGGUACUCGAGUGGCGAACGGGUGAGUAACACUUGGGUGAUCUGCCCUGCACUCUGGGAUAAGCCUGGGAAACUGGGUCUAAUACCGGAUAGGACCGCACUUUUGUGUGUGUGGGGGAAAGUUUUUUCGGUGUAGGAUGAGCCCGCGGCCUAUCAGCUUGUUGGUGGGGUAAUGGCCUACCAAGUCGGCGACGUGUAGCCGGACUGAGGGGUUGGUCGGCCACAUUGGGACUGAGAUACGGCCCAGGCUGCUACGGGAGGCAGAAGUGGGGAAUAUUGAACAAUGGGCGCAAGCCUGAUGCAGCGACGCCGCGUGGGGGAUGACGGCCUUCGGGUUGUAAAAUCCUUUCGUCAGGGACGAAGCGUUUUGUGACGGUACCUGGAGAAGAAGCACCGGCUAACUACGUG
RNAcentral lists this ribosomal RNA (463 nucleotides) under uncultured bacterium. RNAcentral describes it as "partial 16S ribosomal RNA". It matches the Rfam family "Bacterial small subunit ribosomal RNA", at positions 28 to 507 of the family's 1533-position model. The record is from RNAcentral.